RNAcentral lists this small nucleolar RNA (95 nucleotides) under Ricinus communis (castor bean). Its description in RNAcentral is "Plant small nucleolar RNA R71". It matches the Rfam family "Plant small nucleolar RNA R71". Rfam says of the family: R71 is a member of the C/D box family of snoRNAs containing the C (UGAUGA) and D (CUGA) box motifs. Multiple nearly identical copies of this snoRNA have been identified in Arabidopsis, and it is thought to function as a 2'-O-ribose methylation guide for 18S ribosomal RNA. The record is from Rfam by way of RNAcentral. Lineage: Eukaryota; Viridiplantae; Streptophyta; Magnoliopsida; Malpighiales; Euphorbiaceae.
AGACCAUGAUGUGGACAACUCCUUGAAACGCUCCCAACAAUCAUACAAGGUUUCAUUUCCUGCUAAAGAAAACUUACUAUAUCAUUCCUCACCUU